Molecule: ribosomal RNA, 275 nt
Filed under: uncultured bacterium
Lineage: Bacteria
Description: partial 16S ribosomal RNA
Rfam family: Bacterial small subunit ribosomal RNA
Source: RNAcentral
GCGUGAGUGAAGAAGGCCUUAGGGUUGUAAAACUCUUUCACCCGCGAAGAUGAUGACGGUAGCGGGAGAAGAAGCCCCGGCUAACUCCGUGCCAGCAGCCGCGGUAAUACGGAGGGGGCUAGCGUUGUUCGGAAUUACUGGGCGUAAAGCGCACGUAGGCGGCGCAUCAAGUCAGGGGUGAAAGGCCUGGGCUCAACCCGGGAACGGCCUUUGAUACUGAUGUGCUUGAGUCCGGGAGAGGGUAGUGGAAUUCCCAGUGUAGAGGUGAAAUUCGU